GCCUAGUUAGCUCAGUUGGUAGUGCGUAGUGCGUCUGCCUCGUAAGCGCUAGGCCGCGGGUUCGAUUCCCGCCCGGGGCG
This 80-nucleotide transfer RNA is filed under the name Diaphorina citri (Asian citrus psyllid). It matches the Rfam family "tRNA". Rfam says of the family: Transfer RNA (tRNA) molecules are approximately 80 nucleotides in length. The record is from Rfam by way of RNAcentral. Lineage: Eukaryota; Metazoa; Arthropoda; Insecta; Hemiptera; Psyllidae.